UACGUAGGGAGCAAGCGUUGUCCGGAAUCAUUGGGCGUAAAGCGCGCGUAGGCGGCCCCGUAAGUCCGCUGUGAAAGUCAAAGGCUCAACCUUUGAAAGCCGGUGGAUACUGUGGGGCUAGAGUCCGGAAGAGGCGAGUGGAAUUCCUGGUGUAGCGGUGGAAUGCGCAGAUAUCAGGAGGAACACCGGUGGCGAAGGCGGCAUUCUGGACUGUAACUGACACUGAGGAACGAAAGCCAGGGGAGCAAACGGG
This 253-nucleotide ribosomal RNA is filed under the name uncultured bacterium. Its description in RNAcentral is "partial 16S ribosomal RNA". It matches the Rfam family "Bacterial small subunit ribosomal RNA", at positions 524 to 776 of the family's 1533-position model. The record is from RNAcentral.